CUUUCUUCUUCCUCACUUUACAGCAAUUACUCAAACUCACUAACUAUCUCAUAAGUUUGCAAGGCAAAAACCAAUUUUAGCUUGCAUUUUUGCACAUUAAUUCAUCAUGGUUCGUCAGUUGAGAAGCUUUACACUAACAAGCCUAGAUCAAGUGCUGAAUUCCAUGUCAAGCAUAUUUAGAUCCUCCUUCAGAGCGCGUGGCGGACCAAGAAGGUCGGAACUCAGCAAAGGGCCUGGUCCACAGAUUAAUAGCAUUGGAACAAAGAAUGAGAUCAAGGGUUUGGCGAACAACUCAAAAAAUUGAGAUUCAGAAUGAUGACAAUGGAUUGGAGCUAUCUAUAGUACUAAUACAAGCAGUGAGCAAUAACAAAAUAUAGCUACUGUAUGAAAAUUUUGUGAAAUUAUAAUUUAGAGUAUUUGAGUGUUUGUCUUGGUUAGUGAUUGUAUAACGAAUCAUGUUGUAUGUUGCUUGUAACUGUCUUUUUUCAUUUUAAAAAUAAAUAAAAAUCAAAGUAGAUUAAAACUAAGCAUGAUUCAA
Long non-coding RNA from Medicago truncatula (barrel medic), 538 nucleotides. RefSeq lists it as uncharacterized. The record is from RefSeq and is a predicted model, not a curated record. The transcript is spliced from 2 exons. Lineage: Eukaryota; Viridiplantae; Streptophyta; Magnoliopsida; Fabales; Fabaceae.